GUCUCGGUGAUCUAGUGGUCAAGACGCCCGCCUGCUAAACACGAGGGCGUGGGUUUGAUCCCAGCCGAGGCA
RNAcentral lists this transfer RNA (72 nucleotides) under Diaphorina citri (Asian citrus psyllid). It matches the Rfam family "tRNA". From Rfam's summary of the family: Transfer RNA (tRNA) molecules are approximately 80 nucleotides in length. Their secondary structure includes four short double-helical elements and three loops (D, anti-codon, and T loops). Further hydrogen bonds mediate the characteristic L-shaped molecular structure. tRNAs have two regions of fundamental functional importance: the anti-codon, which is responsible for specific mRNA codon recognition, and the 3' end, to which the tRNAs corresponding amino acid is attached (by aminoacyl-tRNA synthetases). tRNAs cope with the degeneracy of the genetic code in two manners: having more than one tRNA (with a specific anti-codon) for a particular amino acid; and 'wobble' base-pairing, i.e. permitting non-standard base-pairing at the 3rd anti-codon position. Lineage: Eukaryota; Metazoa; Arthropoda; Insecta; Hemiptera; Psyllidae. The record is from Rfam by way of RNAcentral.